RNAcentral lists this transfer RNA (98 nucleotides) under Phaeoacremonium minimum UCRPA7. Its description in RNAcentral is "tRNA-Leu (TAA) (tRNA-Leu-TAA-2-1)". Lineage: Eukaryota; Fungi; Ascomycota; Sordariomycetes; Togniniales; Togniniaceae. The record is from RNAcentral.
GCAUGGCGCAAUUGGCAGCGCUACAAGUUUGACCUCCUUGGUACCUACACCUUACCUUACGAAGUAUAAGGUCGCUGGUUUAAAUCCAGCUAUAACCA